RNAcentral lists this ribosomal RNA (305 nucleotides) under uncultured bacterium. RNAcentral's name for it is "bacterial SSU rRNA". It matches the Rfam family "Bacterial small subunit ribosomal RNA", at positions 334 to 656 of the family's 1533-position model. The record is from RNAcentral.
AUCGCCUACGGGGGGCAGCAGUGGGGGAUAUUGCACAAUGGGGGCAACCCUGAUGCAGCGACGCCGCGUGAGCGAUGGAGUACUUCGGUAUGUAAAGCUCUGUCAGCAGGGAAGAGAAUGACGGUACCUGACCAAGAAGCCCCGGCUAAAUACGUGCCAGCAGCCGCGGUAAUACGUAUGGGGCAAGCGUUAUCCGGAUUUACUGGGUGUAAAGGGAGCGUAGACGGCUGUGCAAGUCUGAAGUGAAAGCCCAGGGCUCAACCCUGGGACUGCUUUGGAAACUGUGGAGCUAGAGUGCUGGAGAG